This 468-nucleotide ribosomal RNA is filed under the name uncultured bacterium. RNAcentral's name for it is "partial 16S ribosomal RNA". It matches the Rfam family "Bacterial small subunit ribosomal RNA", at positions 28 to 507 of the family's 1533-position model. The record is from RNAcentral.
GACGAACGCUGGCGGCGUGCUUAACACAUGCAAGUCGAACGGAAAGGCCCUGCUUUUGUGGGGUGCUCGAGUGGCGAACGGGUGUGUAUCACGUGAGUAACCUGUCCCUGUCUUUGGGAUAACACCAGGAAACUGGGGCUCUUAUCGGAUAUGAGCUCUUGAUGCACGGUGUGGGUUGGAAAGAUUCGGCGGUUGGGGAUGGACGCGCGGCCUAUCAGCUUGUUGGUGAGGUAGUGGCGUACCAAGGCAUCGACGGGUAGCCGGCCUGCGAGGGUGACCGGCCACAUUGGGACUGAGAUAGGGCCCAGACGGCAACGGGAGGCAGCAGUGGAAAAUAGUGCACAAUAGGCGGAAGCCUGAUGGAGCGACGCCGCGUGCGGAAUGUCGGCCUGCGGGUUAGAAACCGCGUUCGCCUGUAACGAAGCGUGAGUGACGGUAAUUAGUAAGAAAGCACCGGCUAACUACGUG